RNAcentral lists this ribosomal RNA (417 nucleotides) under uncultured bacterium. RNAcentral's name for it is "bacterial SSU rRNA". It matches the Rfam family "Bacterial small subunit ribosomal RNA", at positions 64 to 524 of the family's 1533-position model. The record is from RNAcentral.
GAGCGGGCGUAGCAAUACGUCAGCGGCAGACGGGUGAGUAACGCGUGGGAACGUACCUUUUGGUUCGGAACAACCCAGGGAAACUUGGGCUAAUACCGGAUAAGCCCUCACGGGGUAAAGAUUUAUCGCCGAAAGAUCGGCCCGCGUCCGAUUAGCUAGUUGGUGAGGUAAUGGCCCACCAAGGCGACGAUCAGUAGCUGGUCUGAGAGGAUGAUCAGCCACAUUGGGACUGAGACACGGCCCAAACUCCUACGGGAGGCAGCAGUGGGGAAUAUUGGACAAUGGGCGCAAGCCUGAUCCAGCCAUGCCGCGUGAGUGAUGAAGGCCCUAGGGUUGUAUAGCUCUUUUGUGCGGGAAGAUAGUGACGGUACCGCAAGAAUAAGCCCCGGCUAACUUCGUGCCAGCAGCCGCGGUAAU